Molecule: ribosomal RNA, 752 nt
Filed under: Polycephalomyces tomentosus
Lineage: Eukaryota; Fungi; Ascomycota; Sordariomycetes; Hypocreales; Polycephalomycetaceae
Description: eukaryotic LSU rRNA
Rfam family: Eukaryotic large subunit ribosomal RNA
Source: RNAcentral
UUUGAAAUCUGGCCCCCUCCGCGGGGGUCCGAGUUGUAAUUUGCAGAGGAUGCUUCUGGCGCGGCGCCUUCCGAGUUCCCUGGAACGGGACGCCACAGAGGGUGAGAGCCCCGUCCGGUCGGACGCCCAGCCUAUGUGAAGCACCUUCGACGAGUCGGGUAGUUUGGGAAUGCUGCCCUAAAUGGGAGGUAUAUGUCUUCUAAAGCUAAAUACCGGCCAGAGACCGAUAGCGCACAAGUAGAGUGAUCGAAAGAUGAAAAGCACUUUGAAAAGAGGGUUAAACAGUACGUGAAAUUGUUGAAAGGGAAGCGCUCAUGACCAGACUUGGGCCCGGGGGAUCACCCGGCGUUCUUUCGCCGGGGCACUUCGCCGGCUGCCCAGGCCAGCAUCAGUUCGCGGCGGGGGACAAAGGCUUCGGGAACGUGGCUCCCUACGGGGAGUGUUAUAGCCCGCUGCGCAAUGCCCUGCCGCGGACUGAGGUUCGCGCUUCCGCAAGGAUGCUGGCGUAAUGGUCAUCAGCGACCCGUCUUGAAACACGGACCAAGGAGUCGUCUUCGUAUGCGAGUGUUCGGGUGUCAAACCCCUACGCGGAAUGAAAGUGAACGCAGGUGAGAGCUUCGGCGCAUCACCGACCGAUCCUGAUGUUCUCGGAUGGAUUUGAGUAAGAGCAUACGGGGCCGGACCCGAAAGAAGGUGAACUAUGCCUGUAUAGGGUGAAGCCAGAGGAAACUCUGGUGGAGGCUCGCAGCGGU